RNAcentral lists this ribosomal RNA (402 nucleotides) under uncultured prokaryote. RNAcentral's name for it is "bacterial SSU rRNA". It matches the Rfam family "Bacterial small subunit ribosomal RNA", at positions 355 to 774 of the family's 1533-position model. The record is from RNAcentral.
UGGGGAAUAUUGGACAAUGGGCGCAAGCCUGAUCCAGCAAUGCCGCGUGUGUGAAGAAGGUCUUCGGAUCGUAAAGCACUUUCGACGGGGACGAUGAUGACGGUACCCGUAGAAGAAGCCCCGGCUAACUUCGUGCCAGCAGCCGCGGUAAUACGAAGGGGGCUAGCGUUGCUCGGAAUUACUGGGCGUAAAGGGCGCGUAGGCGGCUUAGUGAGUCAGGCGUGAAAUUCCUGGGCUUAACCUGGGGACUGCGCUUGAUACUUCUGGGCUUGAGGCCGAGAGAGGGUGGUGGAAUUCCCAGUGUAGAGGUGAAGUUCGUAGAUAUUGGGAAGAACACCGGUGGCGAAGGCGACCACCUGGCUCGGUACUGACGCUGAGGCGCGACAGCGUGGGGAGCAAACA